GAUGAAGAACGUAGCGAAAUGCGAUAAGUAGUGUGAAUUGCAGAAUUCAGUGAAUCAUCGAAUCUUUGAACGCACAUUGCGCCCCUUGGUAUUCCAUGGGGCAUGCCUGUUCGAGCGUCAUUUGUACUCUCAAGCAUUGCUUGGUGUUGGGUGUUUGUCCUAACAAUGGUUGGGACUCGCCUUAAAACAAUUGGCAGCCAGUGUAUUAGACUUGGAGCGCAGCACAAUUUGCGUCUUCUUGCGAAUAAACUGGCAACCAUCAAGCCUAUUUUUCACGCUUGACCUCGGAUCAGGUAGGGAUACCCGCUGAACUUAAGCAUAUCAAUAAGCGGAGGA
This 336-nucleotide unclassified non-coding RNA is filed under the name soil metagenome. RNAcentral describes it as "partial contains 5.8S ribosomal RNA, internal transcribed spacer 2, and large subunit ribosomal RNA". The stretch from base 1 to 120 matches the Rfam family "5.8S ribosomal RNA", at positions 35 to 154 of the family's 154-position model. The record is from RNAcentral.